RNAcentral lists this long non-coding RNA (1771 nucleotides) under Carassius auratus (goldfish). RNAcentral's name for it is "lncRNA (ENSCARG00000028339.1)". The record is from RNAcentral. Lineage: Eukaryota; Metazoa; Chordata; Actinopteri; Cypriniformes; Cyprinidae.
AUGCUGAAGAGAUUUCCAUCUCGUCUCUUGUCGAACUGCCUCUUGUGCUUGACAUGCAUCUCUCUCUUGCUGAUCUCGCAUAAACCGUUGAAACAUCUAAUUAAGCUCCAGCACUUCAUCCUCCGACUCUUCAUCAGACAUACGGCCUGCCGCACCUGCCGCAUCCUCCAUCAGUAUCUCUCCCCCAUCUGUGCACUGUGUCAGUUGGCCAAUCAGAGCAGACUGCGCUGUCAGAAGGAGGGACUUUGUAGAAAACAACUUUGAGAGAGACAGCUAUAGAGGACCUACAGUAAUUUCAUACAUGAAUCUCUCACAAGAUGGCAGCAGAAACAGUGGUCUUUAGUCCACCGCUGAACACUAAAGGGAGACCUCUCAGUGUCUGGGACAACAGGUGUACCUCUCGUGAAAUGAUGAAAACAUCUGUCCAAACUAAUUUACGGAGGUUAUGCAAUUCCUACAAAACAAAACAUUCGAGAUCUUUUGUGUUAUUAUGAUAUGCAUCAAAAUAUUAUCGGUUCAUUAUGAGACUGGACAGAUUAGACCAUGGAGUCUAUGUAAGUCGUAGCCUACUGGUUCGAGAGUUCGACUUCUAACCCUAGGGUUGUGGGUUCGAGUCUCGGGCCGGCAAUAACACGACUGAGGUGCCCCUGAGCAAGACACUGAACCCCAACUGCUCCCUGGGCGCCGCAGCAUAAAUGAGGCUCACUGCUCCGGGUGUGUGUUCACUGCUGUGUGUGUGUUCACUGCUGUGUGUGUGUGUGUGUGUGUGUGUGUGUGUGUGUGUGUGUGUGUGUGUGUGUGUGUGUGUGUGCAUUUUGGAUGGGUUAAAAGCAGAGCAUGAAUUCUGAGUAUGGGUCACCAUACUUGGCUGAAUGUCACGUCACUUUCAUUUCAUUUUUUAACUAAUGGGAAACACUAAUGAAUAACUAUACUCUCUUAAAUAUACAUGUUCUUUAUCCAGCAAAACGGUUCUUUAAAGAGCUGUUCACAGAAUGGUUCUUUGGGGAACCCUGAAUGGUUCUUCAGUACAAACCAUCAGUCAGUAAAAAACUGUAAUUUUUAUGGAAAGGUAUUUUUUUAUGGAACCAUUGAUUCCAGUAAGACGCCUUUAUCUUUAUGAGUGUAGUGAGAGUGCAGACAGAGCUUAUUGUUGCACUUACAAUGCAACAGUCGUAAAGGGGGCCAGGAAAAAAAUUAAUGAAAGAAAAAAUUACUUUUGUUGAAGUGCAAAGAUGUUAAACCACUGUGUGUUGUAGUGCACAUAUAAUGUGUUUAAAAUGAAGUGCCUGCUGCUCUUUAAGAUCUGUGAUGUUUUGGUUUGUUGGAAUUGUAUAACCUCAGCAAAUUUGUUUGGACAGAUGUUUUCAGCAUUUCACUAGAUUUGUAAUGAGAAGGGUUUGUACUCCUGUUGUCACAGACAUUAAAAUGCUGCUUACCAGUGUGCUUACAUCCAUGAAGGAUGUUAUUUAUUUCUUUGGUGAAGAAAAAGUACACACUUUUGAGUGUGUAGUAGGCAAGCUUUGGGACAUACUAUAACAUCAUACACAGUUGUGUCUUCAGCAGAAAGCUCUGUCGUACAGUUACACUGUAAACUGACCUGUCAAUCAUCUUCUCACAGUUAAUAUCCUCCACAUUUCACUUACCACAUCAGAGGGAAAAGAAGAAGCACAUUGACCUGCGAGUCAGAAGUAGAAAAACUCAUAUAUUCUGCAUAAUGAUGAAUUUAUAUUGUUUCUAAAAGUUUACAUUGUUGUUGCAGAUUAAAUAUAAC